ACAUGUGUUGCCGCCUCGGUGAGAACUCUAUACUUAGCUUUGGUGGUUGAAAGGGCCAUUAUAGGCUGCCGUUUACUUGACCAAUAUAUGGGUGCUUCGUCGAGUUCAUGUGAUGUGUCAAAGAUUGGUCGUCCUCCGUCAUAACAACGAUCAAAAUCCGCAUUCGCGUAAGUUACAAGCACCAUCUCGUUUUUAGUUGGAAAGUGAAUUCCAUACUUGGCUGUACCAUUGAGAUAUUGUAAAAUUUGCUUUGCCGCUACUAAGUGGGUGUGCUGUGGAGUUCUCAAAAAUUGGCUUAAACACUCCACGGCGAAGCUGAUGUCGACUCUAGACAUAGUCGAGGGAUAGAGCAGUGCGCCAAUCAAUGAUUGAUAUAAUUUUUGGUCAGUCUUGUGGGUACUGGUAUCCUCUCGUAGCUUUGUACUGGAGCACAUUGGUGUGCUCACCGGAUUACAGUGAGCCAUGUCAAAUUUUCUUAGUAGCCCUUGUGUGUAUAAAUAAUGGUGAAUAUAAAUUCCAGUAUGAUCACGAGUUAUUUCAGCCCCAAGGUACAUUAUUGCUUCAACUAGUUUGGUCAUGCCAAAUGUUUCCAAAAGUUGUGUAGUGCGCCCAUGUAUUUUGAUUUGAUCAUCUCCUGUUAUGAUAAGAUCAUCCACGUAAAGAAAAGCCAGUAUCAUUUUGCCGGCGCAAAUGGAUAUAUAGAGGUUGGAGUCUGAAGAGCUACGGGUGAGACCAACAGUACGGAAGUAGGUAUCGAUGUGGAUGUACCAAGCAUGCGGAGCUUGUUUCAGGCCGUAGAGUGCUCUUUCUAAUUUACAAACCUUUUCCUCAAGCCCAGGUGCUUUGAAUCUAGCAGGAAUUUCUAUGAAAACUUUCUCCUCCAGCUUGCCAUAUAGAAAAGUAGUUUUCACUUCUAAUUGAAUAAGAUACCACUGUCUUUGUGCCCUUAGUACUAGAACGGUGUGUAUUGUUGUCUAUCUUAUGGCCAGUGCGUAGGUAUCAAAGUAAAUGCCGUAGGUUUGUUGAAACCCAUGGGCUAUCAAUCAAGCCUUCAAUAUUGUCCGUCCAUAGCCUUCUUUUUUAUUCUAUAAAUCCAUUUUGCGGUCAUUGUUGUUUUUCUCGCAAGUAAAUCCACUAUGCGCCAUGUUUCAUUUUUCUGAAUUGAUUCCAUUUUGCUCUACAUUGCUGCUCGCCACCCAUCGUGCAAGUUGGCUUCUAUAGAAGUGAGCGGCUCCGAUUCUAUUUCGAUUGUUACCAAGUAAUGGUCCUUCAACCAAGUAGACGGGUAGCGUGAUUGGGCUGGAUAUCUGCAACUAUUUGUUGCUUGUGUUGAUGAAUUGGUGCAAUGACAAGGUAGAUCUACUUUUUCUGCUAUAUCCUGGUUUCAGAAUGUAUCAACAUAUUCCAAAGGCUCUGCAGUUUCUGACGGUGGUUGGCGAGUUAGUGGUUCUGAAGGAGGGCAAUAGGAUAGGAUCAACUUGUUCUGGUGCAUUGAUAUAAUCCAUUCCUCUCGUUGUUUCAUCGAAGACCACAUCGGGUGUAACAUAGAUUUUUUGAGUGUGUGGUUCAAAGACUCAGUAUGCCUUGGAGUAUGAGUCGUACUCUAUCAUAAUACAUUUGAUGAUCUUGGUAUCUAGUUUUGUUCCUAUGUUUUGGUAUGUGCAUGUAAUAAAGACAAGCAAAAGUUUGGAGAUGACUUACAUUGAGUUUUUUCUUGCUGUAUAGUUCCUCCGGUGUGAUUCCUUUGUUGGCUGUGGUAGAGUUCCGAUUUAUAAUAUAGGUGACUGUGUUGACUGCUUUGCUCUACAAAUAGCCAAGUAAUUUGCUGCCCAAUAUACCUUGCUCUUUCAAUUAUUAUUUGAUUUUGUCGUUCUGCUGUCCCAUUUUGUUGAGGUGUUUGUGCUUAAGUUGGUUGUCGUUUUAUACCAUGGUGAUUGCAAUAAUGUUGAAACUCAAGUGACAUAUCUUCUCCCCCACGGUUUGUUCAAAGAUAGACAUGCUUCACAAACAGUUCUAACUUCGCCCAACUGAGCAAAAAUCCAACACUUGCUAGCAGAUAAGGUUACUACAUUGCCAGAUUCAACAAGGCAUCCAACUGAAAUUAGGUUGCAUCUAAGAGAUGGUACGUACAAAAUUUUAUCCAGUUUUAUUGCACCAUUGGUUGUCUCAAUUACAGCAGUUCUUGUAGAUUUGAUUCGAUGUUUUUUUCCUCAGACAGUGAUUACAGUGCCGAUUUCUACUUAACUGCUUCUAGUGUUGUUCAUACACUUGUGACAUGACGGAUGGCACCCGAGUCCAGGUACUAUGGUUGUCUUUGUUCUGCUAUGUUUGAAAGUUCAGUAAAUGCUACUUCUAUGUCAUUUUUGCAAUAUUUACCAGCCGGUUCAGCUUGUGUGUCCUCCAUUAGAACUACGUUAAUUUCAUCCCUGUGUGAUCGUUGUGUUGAGUUCGUGACAUUGUAUCUGCAGUAACGUGUCGGGUGCAUCGAGCUACCACAAUUUGAGCAGUCAUUUUUGUCACUUUCUUGGCUGUCCAUAGUUUGAUGUGAAUUGGCGGUUAUUGUUGUUGUUUCGUCCACUUGUGCAGUAGUUCAAACCAGCAUUGUAUGUGUGAUUUUGACCUCCAAAGUUUCAAGUAAACCGUUUCCUAAUUUGAUUUGCAGUAUUAAACCUGCAAAACUCAACUGA
Physcomitrium patens is the source of this 2687-nucleotide long non-coding RNA. RefSeq lists it as uncharacterized. Lineage: Eukaryota; Viridiplantae; Streptophyta; Bryopsida; Funariales; Funariaceae. The record is from RefSeq and is a predicted model, not a curated record.